UUGAGUCUAUUGUCCUGUUCACACUUAUACUGUAUAAAAUAUGCAUUCGAAAACAACUAAAUCAUAUCACUUGGAACAGCCCCGCACAUGAUGCGUCUGCUGUACACGUGGUGUGCUCUGGCCUGCGUGCUACUGUUGACAGGGGAUGCAACUGCCUGGUGGAGAAGACGUAGACGCACCCGGACCCGUACCUGGCAAAACUGUGAUCGCAACAAAUACGUCAAUGGCUGUUCCGUGCCCUACAAGUGGAUACCCUUCAAGAAUACAUUCAGAACUGCUUGUAACAGACACGAUGUUUGCUAUUCCUGUGCUGCUGCUUAUGGAAUAUCAAAAGCAUCAUGUGAUCGGAGGUUUCUGCUAAGUAUGAACAAGAUUUGUACGAAGAAAUUCUGGCUUCCAUAUUGCAGAACGGCGUCGUUAGCUUAUUAUUCGGCAGUAGCUAUAAAAGGAAGACGAUACUUCAGUAAAUCAGCUUUAUCUGGCUGUCGUGAUCCAUGGGUGAGACAGUGUCUGUAAAUGUGAUGUCACUUCACGCCAUGCAUUCAAUAAAAUGAUAUUGAUAUCAA
Molecule: RNA transcript, 566 nt
Organism: Haliotis rufescens (red abalone)
Lineage: Eukaryota; Metazoa; Mollusca; Gastropoda; Lepetellida; Haliotidae
Exons: 3
Source: RefSeq, a predicted model, not a curated record